Molecule: ribosomal RNA, 440 nt
Filed under: uncultured bacterium
Lineage: Bacteria
Description: partial 16S ribosomal RNA
Rfam family: Bacterial small subunit ribosomal RNA
Source: RNAcentral
CCUACGGGGGGCAGCAGUGGGGAAUAUUGCACAAUGGGGGAAACCCUGAUGCAGCGACGCCGCGUGAGUGAAGAAGUAUUUCGGUACGUAAAGCUCUAUCAGCAGGGAAGAAAAUGACGGUACCUGACUAAGAAGCCCCGGCUAACUACGUGCCAGCAGCCGCGGUAAUACGUAGGGGGCAAGCGUUAUCCGGAUUUACUGGGUGUAAAGGGAGCGUAGACGGCAGCGCAAGUCUGGAGUGAAAUCCCAUGGCUUAACCAUGGAACUGCUUUGGAAACUGUGCAGCUAGAGUGCAGGAGAGGUAAGCGGAAUUCCUAGUGUAGCGGUGAAAUGCGUAGAUAUUAGGAGGAACACCAGUGGCGAAGGCGGCUUACUGGACUGUAACUGACGUUGAGGCACGAAAGCGUGGGGAGCAAACAGGAUUAGAUACCCUAGUAGUC